UUUGUGUCUUCCACCACUCACACCUUUUUGAAAAAUCAAACACCAUUAAAAAAAUUCAAAAUUACUAUUCUUAUUAUUCUCCUAAUUCCUCAUCCAAUAUUCAUUGAUUCAACGUGCUCUCCUCUUUCUUCUCUCCAACUCUACAUGUUUGAAUUUUCCAUUUUUUUCAACUUGUCCCUUUCCUUUGUUUUGGUCAAAAACCAAACACCUAACCGUUUUAGUGCUGAGUGUGUGCUCAAAUGUCCCAAAGCGUGUUUCUUUGACAAAGUGGGUUUGUUUCUUGAAAACCCUUUAACCAGUUUGUUUCAUUAA
Non-coding RNA from Vicia faba (fava bean), 312 nucleotides. NCBI's taxonomy places the organism in Eukaryota, Viridiplantae, Streptophyta, Magnoliopsida, Fabales, Fabaceae. The record is from the annotation of a GenBank genome assembly.